This 1089-nucleotide long non-coding RNA is filed under the name Zonotrichia albicollis (white-throated sparrow). Its description in RNAcentral is "lncRNA (ENSZALG00000008675.1)". Lineage: Eukaryota; Metazoa; Chordata; Aves; Passeriformes; Passerellidae. The record is from RNAcentral.
AUUUAAUUGAGAGAGAGUGAAAAAGGCACAGUAGCAGAUGCAGCAUGACUGAACAACUUUCAGUUAGUCUUUAGGGGGGAGUGGUUAGGGAACCGAAUGAAAGCACUGUAUUUAACCAAAACACAAAAAAUAUGAGGGAUUACAGCCUCAGCUGACAUCGUACGCUCAAUUCACCAGGUUUGCUUAAGAAACCUGUGUUUGAAAAAAUCUCCUGAUUGCCGUCUCACACUGCAAAUAGUAAACAGCUGAGCCCACACAAUUACAUUUACUCCUCCCUUGCCUUUCAGAUCAAUAAUGGAAUAUUUCCCAUUCCUGCAUGACCAGCUGACCUCUGAUGCCAGCUUUGAACAGCAUCAGCCACAGAUCCAGCUGAUGAAGGAGAAGAGUCCCCAUUAACAGAGCAGCAUCACAGUGAGCCUCAUGGACCUGGUCAGAACAUACCCAAGAUUCACUCUGCAAAGCAAAGAUGGGAAAAUCUCAGGAUGUGCAGCAGCAAAAUGCUGGAUCUGUCAUCAAGAGCCACUAAGAAAAAGCUACCUGAGUGAAGAAUGGAAAUAUCUGCUGUUGGACAGAGGAAGCAUGAUUAAAAUGCACUGAAGCUGAAAUAACAGCUAAACUCUUUCAAGAAUAAUUCUCAUCAACCCAUAUCACAAGUGCUGCAUUUAUAAUGCAGGUAAAGAGUUUAUAAAAUCCAUUUCAUUUCAAGGCACAUGGUAUAACGUGUGGCCAUUACCAUUAAAAAGAUAUCCCCCAGAACAUCUCACAAGAUGAGAGGAGGCAGAAUAGCAUAUCAAUGUAUCUCCAGUAACCAGAAGGUAUUUAGUCCUGCCAGCAGUGCUCCAACAUAACCAUCAUUUCUCUGCUCGCUUGCACAGAAACUCUUGCAACAUCUGCUCAGAAUUUUUUUCCAACAAAAUAGUUUUCCUUGGGAAGUUACUGGCUUUAAAACAGUGAGCUGUUCAUGGAACUGUGACACUUGCAGAUAAUUCCAGGCAAAUUUCUUCUUGACCUCCAGCACAACAGCAGUGAGGGUUACUUAGGUUCCCUGGAUUUUUUGGCUGAACAGCAGAAGGGUUGCUCAAAAGUCAG